This 446-nucleotide ribosomal RNA is filed under the name uncultured bacterium. RNAcentral's name for it is "partial 16S ribosomal RNA". It matches the Rfam family "Bacterial small subunit ribosomal RNA", at positions 338 to 795 of the family's 1533-position model. The record is from RNAcentral.
CCUACGGGAGACAGCAGUCGAGAAUCAUUCACAAUGGGGGAAACCCUGAUGGUGCGACGCCGCGUGGGGGAAUGAAGGUCUUCGGAUUGUAAACCCCUGUCAUGUGGGCGCAAAUUAAAAAGAUAGUACCACAAGAGGAAGAGACGGCUAACUCUGUGCCAGCAGCCGCGGUAAUACAGAGGUCUCAAGCGUUGUUCGGAAUCACUGGGCGUAAAGCGUGCGUAGGCUGUUUCGUAAGUCGUGUGUGAAAGGCGCGGGCUCAACCCGCGGACGGCACAUGAUACUGCGAGACUAGAGUAAUGGAGGGGGAACUGGAAUUCUCGGUGUAGCAGUGAAAUGCGGAGAUAUCGAGAGGAACACUCGUGGCGAAGGCGGGUUCCUGGACAUUAACUGACGCUGAGGCACGAAGGCCAGGGGAGCGAAAGGGAUUAGAUACCCGGGUAGUC